UCCUGGUUAGCUCAGUCGGUAGAGCGCUCCAGUGGAAAUGGAGAGUUUCCUGGUUUGAUACCAGAACCAGGCG
This 73-nucleotide transfer RNA is filed under the name Ixodes scapularis (black-legged tick). RNAcentral describes it as "tRNA-Ser for anticodon GGA". The record is from RNAcentral. Lineage: Eukaryota; Metazoa; Arthropoda; Arachnida; Ixodida; Ixodidae.